Oncorhynchus masou masou (cherry salmon) is the source of this 261-nucleotide long non-coding RNA. RefSeq lists it as uncharacterized. Lineage: Eukaryota; Metazoa; Chordata; Actinopteri; Salmoniformes; Salmonidae. The transcript has 3 exons. The record is from RefSeq and is a predicted model, not a curated record.
AGAAGACACCCCCCACAAGAUGUCACAUCCGCAUCCAGCUCUGCAGGAUCAGACGAUACUGAAAACAAACUGCGUGGUGAACUGGGGAGCAGAUGUUCUUCUAAGGGACACCCUAGAGGCAGCAAUGUGGUUGAACUCCAAAUAUUUAAAUGCACUGUUUCCCUACCUAGAAAAUGGUUGUCUUUGCCUCUUUUGAGGAGCAGGAGUGAAUGGUUGGCUGUGUUUUGCUACCACCAGAAACUUUGAAGAUUACCCAUUUAG